UUAAGUUAGAAAGGGCGCACGGUGGAUGCCUUGACACUAGGAGUCGAUGAAGGACGGGACUAACGCCGAUAUGCUUCGGGGAGCUGUAAGUAAGCUUUGAUCCGAAGAUUUCCGAAUGGGGAAACCCACCAUACGUAAUGGUAUGGUAUCCUUAUCUGAAUACAUAGGAUAAGGAAGACAGACCCAGGGAACUGAAACAUCUAAGUACCUGGAGGAAGAGAAAGCAAAUGCGAUUUCCUGAGUAGCGGCGAGCGAAACGGAACAUAGCCCAAACCAAGAGGCUUGCCUCUUGGGGUUGUAGGACAUUCUAUACGGAGUUACAAAGGAACGAGGUAGACGAAGCGACCUGGAAAGGUCCGUCGUAGAGGGUAACAACCCCGUAGUCGAAACUUCGUUCUCUCUUGAAUGUAUCCUGAGUACGGCGGAACACGUGAAAUUCCGUCGGAAUCUGGGAGGACCAUCUCCCAAGGCUAAAUACUCCCUAGUGAUCGAUAGUGAACCAGUACCGUGAGGGAAAGGUGAAAAGCACCCCGGAAGGGGAGUGAAAGAGAUCCUGAAACCGUGUGCCUACAAAUAGUCAGAGCCCGUUAACGGGUGAUGGCGUGCCUUUUGUAGAAUGAACCGGCGAGUUACGAUCCCGUGCGAGGUUAAGCUGAAGAGGCGGAGCCGCAGCGAAAGCGAGUCUGAAUAGGGCGUUUAGUACGUGGUCGUAGACCCGAAACCAGGUGAUCUACCCAUGUCCAGGGUGAAGUUCAGGUAACACUGAAUGGAGGCCCGAACCCACGCACGUUGAAAAGUGCGGGGAUGAGGUGUGGGUAGCGGAGAAAUUCCAAUCGAACCUGGAGAUAGCUGGUUCUCCCCGAAAUAGCUUUAGGGCUAGCCUUAAGUGUAAGAGUCUUGGAGGUAGAGCACUGAUUGGACUAGGGGUCCUCAUCGGAUUACCGAAUUCAGUCAAACUCCGAAUGCCAAUGACUUAUCCUUAGGAGUCAGACUGCGAGUGAUAAGAUCCGUAGUCAAAAGGGAAACAGCCCAGACCGCCAGCUAAGGUCCCAAAGUGUGUAUUAAGUGGAAAAGGAUGUGGAGUUGCUUAGACAACUAGGAUGUUGGCUUAGAAGCAGCCACCAUUUAAAGAGUGCGUAAUAGCUCACUAGUCGAGUGACUCUGCGCCGAAAAUGUACCGGGGCUAAAUACACCACCGAAGCUGCGGAUUGAUACCAAUGGUAUCAGUGGUAGGGGAGCGUUCUAAGGACAGUGAAGUCAGACCGUAAGGACUGGUGGAGUGCUUAGAAGUGAGAAUGCCGGUAUGAGUAGCGAAAGACGGGUGAGAAUCCCGUCCACCGAAUGCCUAAGGUUUCCUGAGGAAGGCUCGUCCGCUCAGGGUUAGUCAGGACCUAAGCCGAGGCCGACAGGCGUAGGCGAUGGACAACAGGUUGAUAUUCCUGUACCACCUCUUUAUCGUUUGAGCAAUGGAGGGACGCAGAAGGAUAGAAGAAGCGUGCGAUUGGUUGUGCACGUCCAAGCAGUUAGGCUGAUAAGUAGGCAAAUCCGCUUAUCAUAAAGGCUGAGCUGUGAUGGGGAAGCUCCUUAUGGAGCGAAGUCUUUGAUUCCCCGCUGCCAAGAAAAGCUUCUAGCGAGAUAAAAGGUGCCUGUACCGCAAACCGACACAGGUAGGCGAGGAGAGAAUCCUAAGGUGUGCGAGAGAACUCUGGUUAAGGAACUCGGCAAAAUGACCCCGUAACUUCGGGAGAAGGGGUGCUUUCUUAACGGAAAGCCGCAGUGAAUAGGCCCAAGCGACUGUUUAGCAAAAACACAGCUCUCUGCGAAGCCGUAAGGCGAAGUAUAGGGGGUGACACCUGCCCGGUGCUGGAAGGUUAAGGAGAGGGGUUAGCGUAAGCGAAGCUCUGAACUGAAGCCCCAGUAAACGGCGGCCGUAACUAUAACGGUCCUAAGGUAGCGAAAUUCCUUGUCGGGUAAGUUCCGACCCGCACGAAAGGUGUAACGAUUUGGGCACUGUCUCAACCAGAGACUCGGUGAAAUUAUAGUACCUGUGAAGAUGCAGGUUACCCGCGACAGGACGGAAAGACCCCGUGGAGCUUUACUGUAGCCUGAUAUUGAAUUUUGGUACAGUUUGUACAGGAUAGGCGGGAGCCAUUGAAACCGGAGCGCUAGCUUCGGUGGAGGCGCUGGUGGGAUACCGCCCUGACUGUAUUGAAAUUCUAACCUACGGGUCUUAUCGACCCGGGAGACAGUGUCAGGUGGGCAGUUUGACUGGGGCGGUCGCCUCCUAAAGUGUAACGGAGGCGCCCAAAGGUUCCCUCAGAAUGGUUGGAAAUCAUUCGUAGAGUGCAAAGGCAUAAGGGAGCUUGACUGCGAGACCUACAAGUCGAGCAGGGACGAAAGUCGGGCUUAGUGAUCCGGUGGUUCCGCAUGGAAGGGCCAUCGCUCAACGGAUAAAAGCUACCCCGGGGAUAACAGGCUUAUCUCCCCCAAGAGUCCACAUCGACGGGGAGGUUUGGCACCUCGAUGUCGGCUCAUCGCAUCCUGGGGCUGUAGUCGGUCCCAAGGGUUGGGCUGUUCGCCCAUUAAAGCGGUACGCGAGCUGGGUUCAGAACGUCGUGAGACAGUUCGGUCCCUAUCCGUCGUGGGCGUAGGAAAUUUGAGAGGAGCUGUCCUUAGUACGAGAGGACCGGGAUGGACGCACCGCUGGUGUACCAGUUGUUCUGCCAAGGGCAUAGCUGGGUAGCUAUGUGCGGAAGGGAUAAGUGCUGAAAGCAUCUAAGCAUGAAGCCCCCCUCAAGAUGAGAUUUCCCAUAGCGUAAGCUAGUAAGAUCCCUGAAAGAUGAUCAGGUUGAUAGGUUCGAGGUGGAAGCAUGGUGACAUGUGGAGCUGACGAAUACUAAUAGAUCGAGGACUUAACCA
This 2919-nucleotide ribosomal RNA is filed under the name Bacillus wiedmannii. RNAcentral describes it as "23S ribosomal RNA". It matches the Rfam family "Bacterial large subunit ribosomal RNA". The record is from RNAcentral. Lineage: Bacteria; Bacillati; Bacillota; Bacilli; Caryophanales; Bacillaceae.